AUUCUGGAUCAAAAGGGUAUUACCCAAACUCAGAUCAAGCCCUGGGGAAAUAACAGAUUACUGUGUACUGGGAACCUUUAUCCAACCCAAGUGAGCUUUACACAGUCUGACUGGUCUGUACUCGCCAUUCAUGACUAAACAGUCUUGCAAAAUGUACCACGAACUGAGCUAACUUGAUCUAUGACUAUCCUACUCCUCUCUGUGUGACCGGAUACGAAGACAUCUCUACCUACUGAUAAGCAUAUAGUCUGGCCUACAUCUGUAACAGCUUUUAACUAGUUGUAAAAACUUCAAGUUUAAAGGCCCACUGCAGUCAAAAUGAUGUUUUCCUGUGUUUUAUAUCAUAUUGUACAACAGUUGAUGAAACUAACAUUGUAAAAGUGUUAUUUCCUGGUAGUUGCUGGUUGAACAUACUAUCUACACAGGACCUUCUAAUCAGCAGGUUUGCAUGGACGGGAGUUUUGGCUUUCCAUGGUGACAUCACCAUGCAGUAAAUUGGUUAAUAGACCAAUAACAAAAAGAGUUCCAAAACGCUCUGCCAAUAACAGCUAGUUUUCAAUUUUCCCCUCUCCACUCCAACCACUCCCAGACAGUCCUCUUCUCAAGCAAGAUUUCUGCAAGAUUGGGACUUGAAACUUGUAUGCUACCCUCACCCACACCCCAAACAAAACCUAGUAGAGAAUGGGAUGAUGUUGUGUUAAGGAUGAAUGGUAAAUGUUUGAUGGUUCAAUAAAGGACCAGAAUGAGAGGUUCAGGUUUUUGUCUACCCCAGGACUCUUUGAAGAGGACCGAAACAACCAACCUGUCACAACACAACCACAGAGGACACACCUGACUGUGAUGUCAUCUAAUUACAGACAGGCACUGUGUGAGGCAGCCCUUUGAAACUGCGUUUAUCAUGACAAAGUCCUGCACCAUCGGAUAAAAGCGGAGGGUAUAUUUGGGGGGAAAACCCACAAAGUACAUGACGACCUGACGACUGAUUGUCAAAAGCGAUCCACUUCUACUUUGAGAGGACUACUCUGCUCUGUCUUGCUGAGAAAUAAACGGUUAAUUCCCAGGAUCCAGUCAUUGAGUGACUUGGUUUAGAGGACACACAGAGAGAACAAAGACAUGGGUGUUGGUGGUUUGUGCAAACAAACAGAGUUGAUAAGACCACAGUAUUACCCAUAAAUCACAGUACUGCAGGCUGAGGGUUGGCACAGCAAUGUAACUGUAUACUGAUAUCCUAAAGGCGUAGCGACGUUGAUGUCCUGUAGAGGCUCCAGGGUCUCCGUGUGGAACAGUCUGAGGGUGGACCCAGAGCUGAAGGCUAUCCAGAUACCCACUCCAGCCACCACCAUGUGGGAUACAACCAUGCCUUCCUCCUGGUGGGCCUCCAGCUGCCUCUGACAGAGGAAGACGGGAAGAAAGGAUAUUAUACUGCACAGCUCAAUGACUCAUUGCUUCAAAUGUGUUGUCUGUUUUUAGAGUAGUGGGAGAAAACCCUACUAACUUAGCCACCAAUCAGGAAGAAUCAUGUCUCUUCAACAGCCUCACACAGGAAAUGCCUUUUACAUGAUUGUAUUUAGCAUGACAUUAUAUUUACACAUCACCGAGUCACUGAGGAGUAGUCUUAAGGUACAAUACAGCUGUCCAAGUGAUUUCAGAGGGUGGAGACAGACAGAUCAUCUGCACUACACUGUCUAAGCUGUGACAAAACACUGACACACUGACAGUAAGCCUGCUAAGAGGGUGAGCCCUGUCCACAUCCUAGUAAUGGUAGAGUUUACACAGUGGAGAUAAUAUUACUGUUACUGACUUAUGGCUAGGGAUUAUUUUGAGAAACCAUACAUAAAUAAUACAAGAUCGACGAUGUUACUCCAAUUGACGUAAUAGUAAAAUUAGAGAGGUGGUAAUUGUGUUUUGAUUUGCAUGAUUGUUGUAGGUAGUGCUGAGCACAAUAGCGACAUCAGCUUUACUCGAAAUAUGAGCUAUGAGGAAAGUCCUGUCUGCUUCUCAUAGAUCCACAAUUUGAUAUAAACUUGCCUUGAUUUUAUUUCCCUAAUUACAAAGCCAAAUAUGACUGAGGGCAUUUCAGUUUACCCAAUAUGCAGUUUACCCUACUCUGUGCCUCAGUUCUACUGCUAUCAGUCAGAAAGAAUAUCAAUUGUGGAUUUAGUGGUUUUUAAGUAAUUUCCCUGCGAUUUUCUCAGCCUAGUACCUGGGAGGCACUACUGUACAGCCAUCAGCUGAGUGGCAUGGAAUCUCCCCAUCCCUGUUAACGAAGGGAAACUCUACUUGGCCAAGGACAGUCUCACAGGCCUCACAGCAGGGUUCCAGUAUUAACAACAAGGACAGUCUCACAGGCCUCACAGCAGGGUUCCAGUAUUAACAACAAGAUCAGGUAUUGUGUCACUGAACCUACAUACAUUUGAACUUCCCAGAUGACCCCUCUAUCCUCCUCCUCCUCUCCCUUUCCCCUCCUUUAGUCUCUCCGUCCCCAUUUCUCUACCAGUCUCUCUCCUUCCUCUUCACCUCAGUCUCUCCCACUCGUUCCAUUUUUGCCUGCCGCUCUUUCUCCCCAUUUCUCUACCUCCAUCACCAUUCCCCCAUGUAGGUGCCAGGGUGUAAGCCUUCGGGGAGAAAGGCAGGUGGUCCUGUAAUGAGCCUAAUUACACUAACUGGAUUAUGAGUCACUGUGUGUCAGAGGAGGAGGGGAGGAGGGAUAUUGCUAUUCCAGGACGGACAGCAGGUGCUUGUGACCCGGACUGACUCCAGGACGGACAGAGAACACAAACGCCACAGGCCUGGAGAGAGGGAGCGAGAGACCCCUCCCAGGUUCCUCUAUACCUCUCUAACGCAAUUAAGCCAGAGCCAACCCAAGUGCAGGUGAUAUCCCAGACAUUGGGCCAGAAUUAGUAACCUAGAAAUACAUAACUGGACGUGACAUGCCCUCCGGCCACAUUCUACAUUCUAAUGUCUAAGGCUCUAAUCCAACCACACUUCAUCUAGUCGUUUCACAGUUAAUAGCAGGGAGCAACAUAUCCACAUCAACAGUAGCUAGCACUGUAUCUUUAAGAGUAAAGCUACCAGAACCAGCGAUGCCCUAGAGAGACUGAGCAGAGCAGAUGCAUGGUGUGGGAUGGUAGAAUAUCAGAACAGAAAUGUGAAGUAUUCCCAGAAAAUGUGAUGAAUGCACCAACACCCACAUCUAUGCAACCGCAGAAGGAAACGCCAAUGAGUUAUGGACAAAAUCAUUUCCAUUUCAGUUAAACUCUGAUUGACCUCUUGAUCCGUUCGUUUAUCGCAAUUUAUCAUCUUCAAAUCCUUCAUAUUUGUACAACGCCAUGAGAAGACCUCUUAAUAUAUAUUUUUUUAUAGAGGCCUUGAAAUAUAAUAUUUGAAUAGUAGAUUGGAGCUGCAAGUCGGACCACCCAACUUUGUAGCAGGUGAACUGUAAUAAAAAGGUGUUCUCUACACCACCA
This is a non-coding RNA of Salmo salar (Atlantic salmon), 3467 nucleotides long. The record is from RefSeq and is a predicted model, not a curated record. Lineage: Eukaryota; Metazoa; Chordata; Actinopteri; Salmoniformes; Salmonidae.